Molecule: unclassified non-coding RNA, 268 nt
Filed under: Hevea brasiliensis (rubber tree)
Lineage: Eukaryota; Viridiplantae; Streptophyta; Magnoliopsida; Malpighiales; Euphorbiaceae
Source: RNAcentral
AGAGAGUGUCUUAGCCAAGGCAUUAACUUCAACAACUUUCUGCGCAGCAAAAGCAAGCCAGGACUUAAUUUCAUCAUCUAAUUUUGUUUCGUUCACCAGAUCAACAGCAGUGUGAAGAAGAGAGCAAGAAGUGGAGACGACAAUCUUUUCUUUCCCAACAAGGUUUUCUAAUGCCUGUAAGGUAGUUAUGGAAGCUUGAAGGUCAUUUGACCAUAUGUUUCUUCCAUCAACCACUCCGGCAAAUAGAUAUUUUCCCGAAGGAAAUCCG